GAAGACAUCCAAUUUCUAUUUUUUUUUUUUCUUUUUCCUUCUUCAAUUUGCAGAGAACUUCUAAGAGAGAGUUUUGAAUAAGAAGAGAAAUUUUACUAGAAUUUUGAGGUUGAAGAAGAGGAAGAGAACUCAAGCAAAGUGUAUCCAUGGCUGAAUUUUAGUUCAUUCUGCACAUCACUGGAAGAACGUUGGAGCAAAUUCGGAUAUUCAUUUGGUGCUUUUUAAUGAAGAAAACAAGGCAGUUGGUUUUCACUCGAAAUCAGGAGGUCUCUGGUUUUUCUUGUAUUUAAGAGCGUAUCGGUGGACUUAGAAUCUCUAUUUGGUAUGGUUGGAAAGCUUAUUCAAUUUAAUACAACUUUCAUGAAGAAAUUGUAAACCAAAAACGACUAAAAAUCAGUUAAAUUGUAGGGACAAGUUAAAGAGGUCGUGUGCACGCGAUUCUGGAAGUGGUUCUGUUUUGAGGGUUAUAUGUGUUUAUGCACGAGGAAUCAGAUUUAUAUGUCUUCAGGCCGAGAAGAAUUAAAUCGAGCUUAUAGACCAAGGAUCUAGCCCAAGACUGUAGAGAUCGAGUUCCCGGUGCCUGAUAGACUGCCUUAGUCUGCGGAAGCUUCAUUAUCGAUUGCCAGUACGUGUUUUGAGUUGGGCAUAGAGUCUGUUGUGUUGUGAUGUAUAUACACCCUUGUAUGUUAUAGAUACUCCACAGUUUGUAUAAGCUUUAGGAGCUGUAGUUGUGUAAAUUUUGUUGGUUAUAUUUUGAUUAAGGUGUAUUUAGGUUUACUCGUGAAAUCGGUAAAUUUUGAGGUACACUUCAUGUAUGUGUUUGACUAGCUGUGUUUGACUAUCCUAGGAUCCGCUGUGUUUUGUGGCAUGUACAAUAGUUUAUAUACUAGAUUGGCAAGUUCAUCACAUGAAAGUUUUAAGCAGAGUCGACAGAUACAGGUACAGAAAAGCGUUGUUCGUCGGCUUCACGCCAUCUUUCGAUCUAAGGUAGCAGGUAGUCUGAGAGGGGGUGUGACAUUUUGUGUUUUGUGGUCGAGUCUUAGUACGAGUAGUGACCUCAGCUUAGUCCGAAAAGUUAGGUCGUUACAGUUGGUAUCAGAGCCUAAGUUUUAGGUUCUGUAGACUGACUUAUGAUGUGAGUCUGUGUUUUGUGUCCUUAUGGCUAAAACGAUCCUUGCCACUCGUCAGGUACGCUCUCAUGAAAUUAUAUGUAUAACUCUAUAUGCAUUACCUUACCUAAGUUAAACUGCGAAGUUAAUUAUCACUUAUGACUAAAGGGAUCAUUGGUGGUUGUUAGGGAAAUGCCGCCAAGGACAGGUGCACGUAAGGGUGGCCGAGGAGGCCAAGGAAGGGGAGCAGGACGUGUUCAACCUGAGGUGCAGCCUGUAGCCCAAGCCACUGACCCAGCUGCGCCAAUUACUCAUGCAGACCUCGCUGCUAUGGAGCAGAGGUUCAGGGAUUUGAUUAUGCAGAUGAGGGAGGAGCAGCAGCAGCCUGCCCCGCCAGCUCCUGCUCUAGCUCCGACUCCAGUUCCUGUUGUGCCCCAGGUCGUGCCGGAUCAGUUGUCGACAGAGGCCAAGUACUUGAGGGAUUUCAGGAAGUAUAACCCCACGAAAUUCGAUGGGUCCUUGGAGGACCCCACCAGGGCUCAGCUGUGGUUAUCGUCUUUGGAGACCAUAUUUCGGUAUAUGAAGUGCCCUGUGGAUCAGAAAGUUUAGUGUGUUGUUUUCAUGUUGACAGACAGAGGUACUGCAUGGUGGGAGACUACAGAGAGAAUGCUAGAGGGUGAUGUGGGUCAGAUUACGUGGCAACAAUUCAAGGAGAGUUUCUAUGCGAAAUUCUUCUCUGCCAGUUUGAGAGAUGCCAAGCGGCAGGAGUUCCUGAACUUAGAGUAGGACGACAUGACAGUGGAGCAGUAUGAUGUGGAGUUUGACAUGUUAUCCCGCUUCGCUCCCGAGAUGAUAGCGACUGAGGCGGCCAGAGCUGAUAAGUUUGUUAGAGGCCUCAGACUGGACAUCCAGGGUUUGGUUCGAGCUUUCCGACCCGCCAUUCAUGCUGAUGCACUGCGCCUGGCAGUGGAUCUCAGUUUACAGGAGAGGGCUAACUCGUCUAAGGUCGAAGGUAGAGGUUCGACCUCGGUACAGAAAAAGAAGGCUGAGCAGCAGCCUAUUCCAGUGCCACAGCGGAACUUCAGACCAGGUGGUGAGUUUCGCCGCUUCCAGCAGAAACCUUUUGAGGCAGGGGAAGCCGUUGUGUACCACUUGUGGGAAGCACCAUCUGGGCCGUUGUUUAUUUGAGACCAGGAAUUGCUUUAAGUGUAGGCAAGAGGGGCAUACAGCUGACAGAUGCCCGAUGAGACUUACGGGGAAUGCGCAGAAUUAGGGAGCAGGUGCUCCACAUCAGGGUAAAGUCUUUGCUACCAACAAGACUGAGGCUGAGAGGGCAGGCACGGUGGUGACAGGUACACUUCCAGUAUUGGGGUAUUACGCCUUAGUUUUGUUUGAUUCGGGUUCGUCGCAUUCUUUUAUCUCUUCUGUAUUUGUGUUGCAUGCCCGCUUAGAGGUAGAGCCCCUACACCAUGUUUUAUCAGUGUCUACUCCUUCUGGGGAGUGUAUGUUGGCGAAAGAAAAGGUGAAAGCAUGCCAGAUUGAGAUAGCAGGCCAUGUGAUUGAAGUAACGUUGUUGGUUCUGGACAUGCUCGACUUUGAUGUAAUUCUGGGUAUGGAUUGGUUGGCCGCUAACCAUGCCAGCAUAGAUUGUUCCCGUAAGGAGGUAGCGUUUAACCCUCCCUCGAUGGCCAGUUUUAAAUUUAAGGGAGAAGGGUCAAGGUCGUUGCCUCAGGUAAUCUCAGCCAUCAGGGCCAGUAAACUGCUCAGUCAGGGUACUUGGGG
Molecule: RNA transcript, 2891 nt
Organism: Cucumis melo (muskmelon)
Lineage: Eukaryota; Viridiplantae; Streptophyta; Magnoliopsida; Cucurbitales; Cucurbitaceae
Exons: 4
Source: RefSeq, a predicted model, not a curated record